Cygnus olor (mute swan) is the source of this 2295-nucleotide long non-coding RNA. RefSeq lists it as uncharacterized. Lineage: Eukaryota; Metazoa; Chordata; Aves; Anseriformes; Anatidae. The transcript has 5 exons. The record is from RefSeq and is a predicted model, not a curated record.
GAAGAGAAUCAGAAGGGUUAAAGUGAGAAAACUCAUGUGUUUGGAUGAAGUCAGUGUAAUAGGUAAAGCAAAGCUGUGCACACAAGCAAAGCAAAAUAAAGAAUUCAUUUGCUGCUUUCCAUUGGCAGGCAGAUAUUUAGCAGUUCAUAGGAUAGCAGGGCUCCAUCGCAUGUAACAGUUACUUGAGAAGACAAAUGCCGUAACUCAGAUGUAUUUUCCCUCCCAACCCUCUUCCUUACCCUUUUGCUCAGCUUCUGUUGCUGAGUGUGACGUCCUGUGGUGUGGAAUGUCCCUUUGGGCUGCUGGGGCCAGCUGUGUGCCUUCCCGGCGCCUCGUGCACCCCGGCCCACCCGCUGGCAGGGCGGUGCGAGGAACAGAAAGGCCUUGACCCUGUGUGAGCCCUGCUCAGCAGCAACUAAAACACCGGUGUGAUUCCAACACUGUUUUCAUCACAAAUCCAAAACAUAGCACCAUGCCAGCUACCGUGAAGAAAAUUAACUGUAUCCCAACUAAAACCAGCACACUCCCUUCUGAGGAAUCUUUCACAGGACACUUUCUUAUACCAAGAUUGACAAAAUCUUAAAUAUACCAAUGUGGUAGUUGUCUUUCAAAUACUGUUUGGACUGGAUCCGUUAGUCGACUGACUUAAUAUAUUACGUGAUUUAAAUGGAAUGUUACAUUACGUGAAGUUUCCUACAAACCAAUUAUACAGCCUCACACCCCAGCCGAUGAAAAUUAUGUUCUCAUAAUCCAUGUCCUGCUGAACUUUCUGAAUGUGGAGAGGAACUUAGUGUGCCAUAGGCCAAUGUAAAAUAUCCUGUACAACAGUGAAAUCGAUGCACUGGGCUUCACUCUCCCUUGUGUCUACAGGAUCUCUAAAGAAAAACUUCCUCCUGACAUGAACCACGAUCAACUUCUGUUCCUCCCAAAAGGAAGACAUCAGGCAUCCCACAGACUGCACGCCACAAAACGGUGCUUGUAACUGACACUGUUGGAGCUGACAGAGUAUUGAGUGAACUUAAGUAGGAAUAUGAAGCUGAAUUUGAAAUGGCUUAAAAAACAGCAACAAGCAGCAUGGUGGUUUAGAGGAGGAAAAGGACAGAGUGAGUUCAGUGAAUACUCCAGUGCUCUGAAUUUACUUCUGCGCAAUGUGGGAUAGUCAAGGCAAACGGAGUGCUGACAGACACAUCUGAGGGGCCACAGGUUACUUCUGGUCCUAGAAGAACAUCUGUGCCUUCUGGCUGUAGGCUGGUGUGUGGAGGAAAGUAAGACCAUCUUUAGGAUCUUUUCAACAGUGUGGGAAAAUGUAUUUAUAGUAAUGGCAAUAUAAAAAAUUUAAAAUAUUUUAGUGAAAAAAAAUCUAAGUGCUUCAUUCAUCUGUUACAAAAAAGGUAAAGCGAGCCAACUACAACACUAAUUUUCAUACAGAAUUGGUAGCAGGAGAUGAAACUAUUAAGCCACAUCUACUGAAAUCAUUGGCUGGUCAGUUUAGGAUUCUGGUCUUUAAAAUACAUUUCAAUUUGUUUAAACCAAAUGAAACACUAAAAUUACUCUAUGCAAGUAAGCCUUGUUUUAUGCACCAGCUGGUAAUAUUGCCAUCUAAUUCUGCCUGCAAAGAAUGUCAUCUACGAUAUUUUCACAGUAGUGAAGAUAAAACAAAUUAUGGUUUAAAAGCACAGUCUCAUGAAUUUUUCCAGGCUGAGCUUGAUCUCCCUGCUUUGAAAACACAUUCAUAUUCUGCCAAAUGAACGAGAUAGGUAACUUACAGUAGACAUCACUGAAUAGAAAUUUUGGGUCUAAAUUUAGAAGUCAGCAAAGUAAGAUAUCCAUUACAGUCAGUACUUUCAUUGCCAUGUCACAAGCUAACAAUGGUCUCGCCCAUAGAGCUGUGCAAUAGCAGCAUGGCAACAAACCAACCCUCCCGUACUGCCUGUGCUGAGUGCACUGCUACAUUUCUAUACCUUUAAUUUCUAAGUUCAUCUGCAAGAUGAAAAGACACAACAUUAAGGCAGCAAAUUCUGCUUUUUCUUUUUUUCAUGUAUCAUGAUUGCUCACUAAGCCUCAGUGCUUCUAAGUGUUUGUAGGAUUCUUAGGGUAAAAGAAAUAAAAUAAAUCAAAGUACAAACAGACUCAACUAUAACUGCCAUUUUUCUCUUUGAGCCAUGAGUGUGCAUAAGAGUGGAGAGGAGAGGGCAGAGUAGGCCCCACAAAGCAUCCAACGCUUGCAGGCCUUGCUGCAGCAAAGCAUCUAAGCAAUAGCAGUAGCCUUACCAUUACUGGCAACACAUGGGAAUG